Molecule: long non-coding RNA, 435 nt
Organism: Dreissena polymorpha
Lineage: Eukaryota; Metazoa; Mollusca; Bivalvia; Myida; Dreissenidae
Exons: 3
Source: RefSeq, a predicted model, not a curated record
GGACAGGAAGUCUAGCCUGCUGGCGUCCAUUUGUUCCUCCUCUAAAGAAGAAUAGCUCCGGGACCUUCCAACAAAACACACCUGAAACGACCAAAGCAAACUGGCCAAAUGAAGGAAAAGCCGAUUACAGUAUGAAUCCUUUACAAAAUUUGGAGCAUUAAAGUAAUAAUGGGCAUUUGAAGCAUGUGAUGCAAGGCAACAACCAACACAAGCCAAAGAACAAAGAAUUGAUUGUUCAAGCAAAAAACCUUGUCUUACCCCUUCAGAGUUAAGUAUAUGUACCAGAAGACCAUUGCCGCAGCCAAGGUCAACAAACCUCUGUUUCCUAGGCAACCCCGACCUCUCUGUUUCCCCUCUCCACAGACACUGACCAGUAAGAAAUACGUGAAACAAGUGUGAUUACAAACAAAAACAUUUGUGAACAAGACAUAAAGA